UACGGGGGGGGCAAGCGUUGUUCGGAAUUACUGGGCGUAAAGGGCUCGUAGGCGGCCAACUAAGUCAUACGUGAAAUCCCUCGGCUUAACCGGGGAACUGCGUCUGAUACUGGAUGGCUUGAGUUCGGGAGAGGGAAGCGGAAUUCCGGGUGUAGCGGUGAAAUGCGUAGAUAUCCGAAGGAACACCGGUGGCGAAGGCGACUACCUGGCCUGUUCUUGACGCUGAGGCGCGAAAGCUAGGGGAGCAAACGGG
Molecule: ribosomal RNA, 253 nt
Filed under: uncultured bacterium
Lineage: Bacteria
Description: partial 16S ribosomal RNA
Rfam family: Bacterial small subunit ribosomal RNA
Source: RNAcentral